UGGGGAAUCUUAGACAAUGGGCGCAAGCCUGAUCUAGCCAUGCCGCGUGAGUGAAGAAGGCCCUAGGGUCGUAAAGCUCUUUCGCCAGGGAAGAUAAUGACUGUACCUGGUAAAGAAGUCCCGGCUAACUCCGUGCAGCAGCCGCGGUAAUACGGAGGGGACUAGCGUUGUUCGGAAUUACUGGGCGUAAAGCGCACGUAGGCGGAUCAGCAAGUUAGGGGUGAAAUCCCGGGGCUCAACCCCGGAACUGCCUCUAAAACUGUUGGUCUUGAGUUCGAGAGAGGUGAGUGGAAUUCCGAGUGUAGAGGUGAAAUUCGUAGAUAUUCGGAGGAACACCAGUGGCGAAGGCGGCUCACUGGCUCGAUACUGACGCUGAGGUGCGAAAGUGUGGGGAGCAAACAG
Molecule: ribosomal RNA, 402 nt
Filed under: uncultured bacterium
Lineage: Bacteria
Description: bacterial SSU rRNA
Rfam family: Bacterial small subunit ribosomal RNA
Source: RNAcentral